Molecule: ribosomal RNA, 423 nt
Filed under: uncultured eukaryote
Lineage: Eukaryota
Description: bacterial SSU rRNA
Rfam family: Eukaryotic small subunit ribosomal RNA
Source: RNAcentral
CAAUAGCGUAUAUUAAAGUUGUUGCGGUUAAAAGCUCGUAGUUGGAUUUUGGGGCCUCUACCGUCGGUCCGGCGUAAGCCGCGAACUGAUAGUUGGGCUCUUCUGUCUGGAGACGGUGUGCUUCUUCUUCAUUGAUGGGCGCAACGGAUCUAGGACCUUUACUUUGAACAAAUUAGAGUGUUUAAAGCAGGCCUUCGCCUGGAUACAUUAGCAUGGAAUAACCGAAUAGGACUUUGGUUCUAUUUUGUUGGUUUUAAGGUACCGAAGUAAUGAUUAAUAGGGAUAGUUGGGGGCAUUAAUAUUUAAUUGUCAGAGGUGAAAUUCUUAGAUUUAUGAAAGAUUAACUUCUGCGAAAGCAUUUGCCAAGGAUGUUUUCAUUAAUCAAGAACGAAAGUUAGGGGAUCGAAGAUGAUUAGAUACCAU